GGCCUAACACAUGCAAGUCGAGCGGCAGCGAGAGUAGUAGCAAUACUACUUGUCGGCGAGCGGCGGACGGGUGAGGAACACGUAGGAACCUGCCCUUUAGCGGGGGACAACCAAGGGAAACUUUGGCUAAUACCGCGUAAUCUCGAGAGAGGAAAGCUGCCCGCAAGGGUGGUGCUAAAGGAGGGGCCUGCGUCCGAUUAGCUAGUUGGAGAGGUAAAAGCUCCCCAAGGCGAUGAUCGGUAACUGGUCUGAGAGGACGACCAGUCACACUGGGACUGAGACACGGCCCAGACUCCUACGGGAGGCAGCAGUGGGGAAUAUUGGACAAUGGGGGCAACCCUGAUCCAGCGAUGCCGCGUGGGUGAAGAAGGCCUUCGGGUUGUAAAGCCCUUUAGGUUGGGAAGAAGUUUAUUUGGUGAAUAUCCAAGUAGAUUGACGGUACCGACAGAA
This 450-nucleotide ribosomal RNA is filed under the name uncultured bacterium. RNAcentral's name for it is "bacterial SSU rRNA". It matches the Rfam family "Bacterial small subunit ribosomal RNA", at positions 45 to 486 of the family's 1533-position model. The record is from RNAcentral.